This is a long non-coding RNA of Salvia miltiorrhiza (redroot sage), 895 nucleotides long. RefSeq lists it as uncharacterized. The transcript has 4 exons. Lineage: Eukaryota; Viridiplantae; Streptophyta; Magnoliopsida; Lamiales; Lamiaceae. The record is from RefSeq and is a predicted model, not a curated record.
AGAGAGAAGUGGGAAGAGGAAUAGUACUAUAGAAAGAAUAGUGAUGUGCUGGCAUUUUUGUAAUUUUCUGUUAUUUGGAGGCUGAUUUGAAACUAUUGAUUAAUCUCACCAUUUUCUCCUCAUAGCCGAUAAGAUCAGCUUUCUCUUUCUCCCUUUUUACUUUCUAUUCUAUGGUUUCUCUUCUCUCUUUAGAAAUUCUACUCCAAGAAAUCAAAUCUUCUUCAAAUUAUCGGUGCAAAGUCAGAUCAGAAUCAACCCACUUGAGAAAGCCAUUACAGCAACAAAACCAAAGUUCCUUUUCUAAAUUAUUCUUAGACACGUGCUCGUUCAUCGACAACCACUUCUUCAAGAGUUGCAUAUUCUUCCAUGGGAGUAGUGAGCACUACCUUGCACUUGAGUAAUGAUGUUUAUAGGUUGAUAAAAACCGACCCUGUUGCGCUAGCGUUUCACGUUCUUUCUAUUCGAUCUGAGGUGGGCUGCAUGAUCUAGGUUGCCAUUACAUGAGUGUGCUAGCGCUUGUGGCGAAAUAUGGACUCUGAGGUAUUUUCCUCACAAUGACUUGUAAUCCAAAGUGAGUAGAAAUUCAAAGUUGAUCAUUUCCUAUUGAAAACUGUCAUAAUAGAGUUGAUUAGUAUGCAAGAGUUUUCGGAGCAAAAAUUGAGUACUAGAAAAAGGAAAUUGUAAUAGACUCGUUGUUUUGGGUGGUUGCUGCUUAUUUUUAUGUGGUCAAAUUUCAGAAAAGAGGACUUCCACAUGUUCAUUGCAGUGGUUGCCGAGCAAAAUAAAGGUGAGUGUAAUAAAGGUGAAUAUUCUACAUGAAACAACGAUGUUAGUAGUCGAAUGAUGUCAUCAACGAUAUAGGAAAGUAUGCAAAUACAUUAUUGUUUGUCAUUAU